This 496-nucleotide ribosomal RNA is filed under the name uncultured bacterium. RNAcentral describes it as "bacterial SSU rRNA". It matches the Rfam family "Bacterial small subunit ribosomal RNA", at positions 791 to 1287 of the family's 1533-position model. The record is from RNAcentral.
UAGUCCACGCCGUAAACGAUGAGUGUUAGAUGCCGGGCUUAGCUCGGUGUCACAGCUAACGCGUUAAACACUCCGCCUGGGGAGUACGGUCGCAAGACUAAAACUCAAAGGAAUUGACGGGGACCCGCACAAGCGGUGGAGCAUGUGGUUUAAUUCGAUGCAACGCGAAGAACCUUACCACCCUUUGACAUCUUGAUCAUGAUUAGCAGAGAUGCUUUUUGCGGUUCGGCCGGAUCAAUGACAGGUGUUGCAUGGCUGUCGUCAGCUCGUGUCGUGAGAUGUUGGGUUAAGUCCCGCAACGAGCGCAACCCUCAUCCUUUGUUGCCAUCAGGUUAUGCUGGGGACUCUAAGGAAACUGCUCGUGAUAAGCGAGAGGAAGGUGGGGGAUGACGUCAAGUCAUCAUGGCCCUUACAGGGGUGGGGCUACGACACGUGCUACAAUGGCUUUACAAUGGGCUGGCUACCUCGCGAGGGAUGCGAAUCUCAAAAACNCGCC